UACGGGGGGAGCAAGCGUUGUUCGGAUUUACUGGGCGUAAAGGGCGCGUAGGCGGCCACCGCAAGUCGGUUGUGAAAUCUCUGGGCUUAACCCAGAAAGGUCAACCGAUACUGCGGGGCUAGAGUGCAGAAGGGGCAACUGGAAUUCUCGGUGUAGCGGUGAAAUGCGUAGAUAUUGGGAAGAACACCUGAGGCGAAGGCGGGUUGCUGGGCUGACACUGACGCUGAGGCGCGAAAGCCAGGGGAGCGAACGGG
RNAcentral lists this ribosomal RNA (254 nucleotides) under uncultured bacterium. RNAcentral's name for it is "partial 16S ribosomal RNA". It matches the Rfam family "Bacterial small subunit ribosomal RNA", at positions 524 to 776 of the family's 1533-position model. The record is from RNAcentral.